UAGGGAAUCUUCCGCAAUGGGCGAAAGCCUGACGGAGCAACGCCGCGUGAGUGAUGAAGGUCUUCGGAUCGUAAAACUCUGUUAUUAGGGAAGAACAAAUGUGUAAGUAACUAUGCACGUCUUGACGGUACCUAAUCAGAAAGCCACGGCUAACUACGUGCCAGCAGCCGCGGUAAUACGUAGGUGGCAAGCGUUAUCCGGAAUUAUUGGGCGUAAAGCGCGCGUAGGCGGUUUUUUAAGUCUGAUGUGAAAGCCCACGGCUCAACCGUGGAGGGUCAUUGGAAACUGGAAAAAUUGAGUGCAGAAGAGGAAAGUGGAAUUCCAUGUGUAGCGGUGAAAUGCGCAGAGAUAUGGAGGAACACCAGUGGCGAAGGCGAAUUUCUGGUCUGAACCAGACGCUGAUGUGCGACAGCGUGGGGAUCAAACAGG
RNAcentral lists this ribosomal RNA (429 nucleotides) under Actinomycetes bacterium. RNAcentral describes it as "Actinobacteria bacterium partial 16S ribosomal RNA". It matches the Rfam family "Bacterial small subunit ribosomal RNA", at positions 355 to 776 of the family's 1533-position model. The record is from RNAcentral. Lineage: Bacteria; Bacillati; Actinomycetota; Actinomycetes.